GUCCACACAGUAAACGAUGAAUACUCGCUGUUUGCGAUAUACAGUAAGCGGCCAAGCGAAAGCAUUAAGUAUUCCACCUGGGGAGUACGCCGGCAACGGUGAAACUCAAAGGAAUUGACGGGGGCCCCGCACAAGCGGAGGAACAUGUGGUUUAAUUCGAUGAUACGCGAGGAACCUUACCCGGGCUUAAAUUGCAAAUGAAUUAUGGGGAAACCCAUACGCCGCAAGGCAUUUGUGAAGGUGCUGCAUGGUUGUCGU
Molecule: ribosomal RNA, 258 nt
Filed under: uncultured bacterium
Lineage: Bacteria
Description: partial 16S ribosomal RNA
Rfam family: Bacterial small subunit ribosomal RNA
Source: RNAcentral